AUUGAACGCUGGCGGCAUGCCUUACACAUGCAAGUCGAACGGCAGCGCGGGGGCAACCCUGGCGGCGAGUGGCGAACGGGUGAGUAAUAUAUCGGAACGUACCCAAGAGUGGGGGAUAACGUAGCGAAAGUUACGCUAAUACCGCAUACGAUCUAAGGAUGAAAGUGGGGGACCGCAAGGCCUCACGCUCCUGGAGCGGCCGAUAUCUGAUUAGCUAGUUGGUGGGGUAAAGGCCUACCAAGGCAUCGAUCAGUAGCUGGCCUGAGAGGACGACCAGCCACACUGGGACUGAGACACGGCCCAGACUCCUACGGGAGGCAGCAGUGGGGAAUUUUGGACAAUGGGGGGCAACCCUGAUCCAGCAAUGCCGCGUGAGUGAAGAAGGCCUUC
RNAcentral lists this ribosomal RNA (390 nucleotides) under uncultured bacterium. RNAcentral's name for it is "bacterial SSU rRNA". It matches the Rfam family "Bacterial small subunit ribosomal RNA", at positions 29 to 419 of the family's 1533-position model. The record is from RNAcentral.